Long non-coding RNA from Branchiostoma floridae (Florida lancelet), 400 nucleotides. RefSeq lists it as uncharacterized. The record is from RefSeq and is a predicted model, not a curated record. Lineage: Eukaryota; Metazoa; Chordata; Leptocardii; Amphioxiformes; Branchiostomatidae. The transcript is spliced from 3 exons.
UGACCUUUAGUGGAUUUGUCUCCUGCGAGUGCUACUAUCGACUACUUUCUGUCUUUCGUCUUAGUGUCUGAAAUCAUGUUGGCAGCUUUUUGAUGUCUGAGGUCUGGAAAGCUAAUGAAAGAUGUCAGAGAAACCAACAGUAGACACUGGUCCUCAAUAUCAACAACUUGCUAUGUGUUCAGCACCAGCGACAGAUGUGUUCACCUGUGUGGGGGUGAUGUUCAGCACCAAGGACAGGGUUUCCAGUAGAGUGGUGUCGCGUACAAACAUCCACUGCCGUUGCACAUGAAACGCCAUCAUUGAAAACAGCACCAGGAACAUCAGUACUAGGAAGCCCAUCCUCUUCCUACCCAGGGAGCCGUGGAAAAUCCCUGUCGCACCGUGGCAUGCCAUUGUUUUG